UUGGCACAGGACGUCACAGAGGGUGAGAAUCCCGUACGUGAUCGGACGCCCCAUGUGAAGCGCCUUCGACGAGUCGAGUUGUUUGGGAAUGCAGCUCUAAAUGGGUGGUAAAUUUCAUCUAAAGCUAAAUACUGGCCGGAGACCGAUAGCGCACAAGUAGAGUGAUCGAAAGAUGAAAAGCACUUUGGAAAGAGAGUUAAACAGUACGUGAAAUUGUUGAAAGGGAAGCGCUUGCAACCAGACUUGCCUGCGGUUGAUCAACCGGGUGCACUCGACCGUGGUCAGGCCAGCAUCAGUUCUGGCGGUGGGAGAAAGACUGCGGGAAUGUAGCUCCUCUCGGGGAGUGUUAUAGCCCGUAGUGCAAUGCCACCUGUUAGGACUGAGGACCGCGCUUCGGC
This 398-nucleotide ribosomal RNA is filed under the name Thelocarpon impressellum. Its description in RNAcentral is "eukaryotic LSU rRNA". It matches the Rfam family "Eukaryotic large subunit ribosomal RNA", at positions 190 to 606 of the family's 3401-position model. The record is from RNAcentral. Lineage: Eukaryota; Fungi; Ascomycota; Thelocarpales; Thelocarpaceae. RNAcentral also lists the same sequence under 1 other name.